Molecule: ribosomal RNA, 396 nt
Filed under: Sarocladium strictum
Lineage: Eukaryota; Fungi; Ascomycota; Sordariomycetes; Hypocreales; Sarocladiaceae
Description: partial small subunit ribosomal RNA
Rfam family: Eukaryotic small subunit ribosomal RNA
Source: RNAcentral
GCUUGUCUCAAAGAUUAAGCCAUGCAUGUCUUAGUGUAAAUAACUCUUAUGAAACUGCGAAUGGCUCAUUAAAUCAGUUAUCAAAUACGUGAUGGUCGCCUACUACAUGGAUAACCGUAGUAAUUCUAGAGCUAAUACAUGCUAAAAACCCCGACUUCGGAAGGGGUGUAUUUAUUAGAUACAAAACCAAUGCCCUUCGGGGCUCCUUGGUGAUUCAUGAUAACUAUACGAAUCGCACGGCCUUGCGCCGGCGAUGGUUCAUUCAAAUUUCUUCCCUAUCAACUUUCGAUGUUUGGGUAUUGGCCAAACAUGGUUGCAACGGGUAACGGAGGGUUAGGGCUCGACCCCGGAGAAGGAGCCUGAGAAACGGCUACUACAUCCAAGGAAGGCAGCAGG